Molecule: ribosomal RNA, 487 nt
Filed under: Kocuria sp. EBKC97
Lineage: Bacteria; Bacillati; Actinomycetota; Actinomycetes; Micrococcales; Micrococcaceae
Description: bacterial SSU rRNA
Rfam family: Bacterial small subunit ribosomal RNA
Source: RNAcentral
AGCCUGAUGCAGCGACGCCGCGUGAGGGAUGACGGCCUUCGGGUUGUAAACCUCUUUCAGCAGGGAAGAAGCCACAAGUGACGGUACCUGCAGAAGAAGCGCCGGCUAACUACGUGCCAGCAGCCGCGGUAAUACGUAGGGCGCAAGCGUUGUCCGGAAUUAUUGGGCGUAAAGAGCUCGUAGGCGGUUUGUCGCGUCUGCUGUGAAAGCCCGGGGCUCAACCCCGGGUCUGCAGUGGGUACGGGCAGACUAGAGUGCAGUAGGGGAGACUGGAAUUCCUGGUGUAGCGGUGAAAUGCGCAGAUAUCAGGAGGAACACCGAUGGCGAAGGCAGGUCUCUGGGCUGUUACUGACGCUGAGGAGCGAAAGCAUGGGGAGCGAACAGGAUUAGAUACCCUGGUAGUCCAUGCCGUAAACGUUGGGCACUAGGUGUGGGGGACAUUCCACGUUCUCCGCGCCGUAGCUAACGCAUUAAGUGCCCCGCCUGG